Molecule: ribosomal RNA, 414 nt
Filed under: Firmicutes bacterium BAL8
Lineage: Bacteria; Bacillati; Bacillota
Description: bacterial SSU rRNA
Rfam family: Bacterial small subunit ribosomal RNA
Source: RNAcentral
GGGUGAAGUAACAUACUUAGUGGCGCACGGGUGAGUAACGUGUGAACUAUGUGCCAUAUACAGAGGAAUAGCCUCGGGAAACCGGUAUUAACACCGCAUAAAACUAUAGUAUCGCAUGAUACGUUAGUCAAAUUGAUUAAGAGGUAUAGGAUGAGUUCGUGUCUGAUUAGAUAGUUGGUGGGGUAAAGGCUUACCAAGGCGACAGAUCAUGUACCCGGCUUGAGAGGGUGACCGGCCACACUGGAAUUGAGACACGGUCCAGAUUCUUACGGAAGGCACCAUUGGGGAAUAUUGCCCAAUGAAGGAAACUUUAAUGCAGCGACGCGGCUUGAGUGAAGAAGGUCUUCGGAUCGUAAAACUCUGUCCUUGGUGAAGAUAAUGACGGUAGCCAAGGAGGAAGCCCCGAGCUAAUCC